RNAcentral lists this ribosomal RNA (238 nucleotides) under uncultured bacterium. RNAcentral describes it as "partial 16S ribosomal RNA". It matches the Rfam family "Bacterial small subunit ribosomal RNA", at positions 118 to 347 of the family's 1533-position model. The record is from RNAcentral.
UGGGUAAUCUGCCCUCGAUUCUGGGAUAGCCCGGGGAAACCCGGAUUAAUACCGGAUAGCCUCUCGAGCUCUCGGGCUCGUGAGAAAAGGUAGCUUCGGCCUCCGAUCGAGGAUGAGCCCGCGGCGGAUUAGCUCGUUGGUGGGGUAAUGGCCCACCAAGGCUACGAUCCGUAGCUGGUCUGAGAGGACGAUCAGCCACACUGGGACUGAGACACGGCCCAGACUCCUACGGGAGCAG